Molecule: long non-coding RNA, 316 nt
Filed under: Manihot esculenta (cassava)
Lineage: Eukaryota; Viridiplantae; Streptophyta; Magnoliopsida; Malpighiales; Euphorbiaceae
Description: long non-coding RNA (MESC_LNC003277)
Source: RNAcentral
UCAUUGGAGGUCUACCUUAUUGCUUGCACUGCUCACUGUCGUCUUGCCAAUUACAUCACUUGUCCAUCGUAGUUACUUGCGGCUUGCAUUGCCAGUCGAUAGCCGUUGAUCGACACCUAUAUUGCUCGUCAAUCGUGGUCCGCCGCUCGGAUCUCUCACUUCUCGCUAUUGCAUUCAGCAAGCGCAUCAUCGCCCGUCUAUCUCACGCUGCAUCAUCGCCCGUCUAUCUCACGCUGCAUGCUGCUUUCCGUCGUUCUCCGCUCCUCCAUCUCCUUUAAUCAACCAUUAAUAAUGAAGAUAAUUUGGAAAUUUGAAG